RNAcentral lists this unclassified non-coding RNA (2435 nucleotides) under Hevea brasiliensis (rubber tree). The record is from RNAcentral. Lineage: Eukaryota; Viridiplantae; Streptophyta; Magnoliopsida; Malpighiales; Euphorbiaceae.
AAAAUACUUGCAAUCAAGUGAUAUUGUGGGAAGCAUCAUAAUAUACAAAAAGGAUAUCAACUUAGCAAAAGGCAAGUGUCAUAUCAAUUCAAUCAUUUCCAUAUACAAUUACAGCAAGAAAACCUACAAACAAAAGGCAAAUGAAAGAUACAAAAGAGAUUUGAUUGCUCAUGCCACUCGUACACAUUCCGUUCCCCUGGUGAAAUGAAAAGCUCAAUGCACUGGAGAAAUAUGAUGAAAUCAAAAACAGGAUUAAGCACAAUGAACCUCGUGAUAACUAGCUAGCAACUCUGAAUUUGAGGAAUGAUGGCAGUUGAACUGAUCUUUUUUCGUUGUUCAUCUGCAGAAAGAAUCGAUAAAUAUAGUACAAUAGAAGAAUCUUUGCAGACUUUAAUUCCCAUAAACUUGCAUCACUCCUCAAUUUACUGCAUGAAGUUGCAGAUGCAAACUCAAAUCAUUAAUUUUCUUCACAUCUAGCUAGAGCCUUCAAUCCGAGCUUGAAUCGUAGAAGUCACUGGGACAUGGAGUCAUGACUUCAGAUUCGAGAAUCUGAACAACCCUGUGCAUUGUGGGCCUGUCGUCGGGGCUUGAAGAAACACACUGAGUGGCAACUGAAAGCAGGGAAUCAAGGCUUUCAGUCUGCACUCGUUCACAAAGCGGAUCAACUAUCUCUGUCCGUCUAUUCUCGGAUGCUAAAUAAUUCAGCCAGCCUACAAUAUUGAAGCCCUUCUCAAUAUAUGAUGCAUCAGUCGGCCGCUUCCCACUUAUGACUUCAAGAACCAGAACUCCAAAACUAUAAACAUCUGUCUUUUCUGUAGCCCUACCACUCUGCAUGUAUUCUGGAGCUAAAUACCCAAAUGUGCCAGCUACAAUUGUUGUGAUGUGAGACUCCUCAUCCCCGAGUAAUUUGGCCAGUCCAAAAUCAGAUACUCGAGCCUCAAAGUUUCCAUCAAGCAAAAUGUUGCUAGACUUUAUGUCACGGUGUAUUACUCGAGGUGAACAAUCGUGAUGUAAAUAUGCCAGCCCUUUUGCAGCUCCCAUGAUUACAGUCAGCCGUGCACCCCAGUCUAACUGCUCAGAUCUCUCGUGCAGAACUUCAUCUAGGCUACCUCCUGAUAAAAAGUCAUAUAUCAACAACUUUGAUGUCGGAGAAUUGCAAUAUCCUCGCAGAUUUACCAGAUACCGGUGCUUAAUACUUCCAAGAAUUUCAAGCUCCCUUUCGAAGAAUCUAUCGAAGCCUUCAUUCAUCUUGAUAAUUCUCUUCACGGCAAAUACAUUGCCAUCAUCCAUUGCAAGUUUGUAUACAGUUCCAAAGCCCCCAGAACCAAUAAUGUGCUCUUCAUUCAGAAUCUCCAGUUUUUUGAUGAUGUCCUUGGAAGAGUAGGGUAAAUCUCCAUGGAACAUCACAAUCGAUGCACCUGCACAAAUAUCCAUCGCAAGACUUUUGCCAUCAUUUUUACCCAGUCUCUUGUAGAGGAAACAGCCCCAGAAACACAUCAGUGCCACCAAAAGCAGUGCACCCACAGUGGCAGAUGCACUUAUAAGUAGUCGACCAUUCUUAUUUUGGCUUUGGGCUGAACCCGGGGACGGGGAUAUUGAAGGACCUCCAUUGUUACAGUCCUGACUAACUUGUUUGCCACACAAGUUACGAUUUCCAAGAAAGGAAUCAUUUCCAAACUUGGCAAGGUGUCCAUCUGAAGGUAUCUGCCCAACCAAGAAAUUUGUUGACACGUUGAAAAUGCCAAGAUUGUUCAGCUUGCCAAGGGAUGGUGGAAUGUUUCCACUGAGAGAGUUGCUUGAAAGAUCUAGAUUCUCAAGCUCAGGAAGGUUUCCCAACUCAUCAGGAAUCCAUCCGCUUAAAUAAUUACUCUGAAGAAACAGAGAUUUCAGGUUUGUACAAUUUCCCAAUGCAGGAGGUAUUGCCCCAUAGAAAUUAUUGUCAUGAAGAGCCAGAAACUGCAACUGGUCUAGCUUCCCAAUAUCUGGUGAUAUAUAUCCACUCAGUUUGUGAUUAGGGAGGCUUAAAGAUGUAACUCUCUUUGAUUUUGAGUCACAUUGUACCCCUUUCCAGCCACAUGGGUCAGAAUCUUCUGGUCUCCACUGCUCAAGAACACCAUCGGAACCAGAUAUUGCAAUCCUAAAAUUGACAAGCGCUUGACCAUCAGGAUUGAGUGCUAGUGUAAGUCUUGGGAAAAUGCAAAGCAACAGCACGCUUAAAAACAACAAAUCCUGAAUUUUCGAAGAGAAGUCGCCCAUCUUGGCGUUGAUCAAGCAUAAUAAGGCUACUGAAGAACAUCAGGCGGACUACGCUGUGCUACGGUUCCCUUGGACAUACAGUAAACAGGAUGUGACACCACAAAACCAGCAAUGGAAAAGAGAAUGAUCCCUGAAAAUGCUAGAUUCGAUCUGCAAGUGAGUACCCAAAGUUCAUUUCA